AUCAGGGUCCCCGCGGGUCCUUAAAAAGUCUUGAAAUGUCUUAAAUACAAUUUUCGAUUUUUAAGGUCUGAAAAUGUCUUGAAUCCUGGAAUUUUCCAUAUGAAUGUCUUAAAUUUCAUGUGGGAUCUUAAAUUUCAUGUCCGACUCGUCAUUUUUAUUUAUUUUUUCAACCGCAAUUUGACCAGCGUAACAUUUGGGGGCAGCACUUCGUGGGUGCAACCUGCAUCAUUCCAUAGGCGACAUACGAGUAAGUGAUUGAUGAACGCGUUGCGUUGAUGGUUCGCCACCACGGCAGUUUGCGAAAUCGCAAGCAUGGGCAAAGACGAUAAAGCUGUGGACAAGAACACGAUUGUCAGGUCUCGCUAUCUUGGUUCUCAGUUUUUGAGCCCCUCAACGGCAGAAGACUUGCUGUAGCACUUUAAGGAGGGCACCAAGGAACUUAAUUUAAGGAACAUGCUUUCUGUGUCAAUGGAUGUAUCCACAGUAAAUUGGAAAGUCAUGGAUCUCCUACAACUGGAACAUGCAAUAAAUUUCUGAUCCUGAUCUUUCCUACAA
Molecule: long non-coding RNA, 555 nt
Organism: Carassius gibelio (silver crucian carp)
Lineage: Eukaryota; Metazoa; Chordata; Actinopteri; Cypriniformes; Cyprinidae
Exons: 2
Source: RefSeq, a predicted model, not a curated record